CCCUGAAAAUGAUAUUAUAUAAAACUUUAACUAAGAUAAUAUUUUUUAUGAAAAUGAUAUCUUUCUUCUAAUCCUUUCCAAUAAAAGGAAUCGCCAGCGACCAUCAGAUCAUGUGCAUGUUCCAAGCUUUUUAUAUCCAAGUGGACUAGAGAUCACUGACAUAACGCUUGCAUUACAGCACAAAUGUGGUCACUGAAUAAGCAAUCUUUAUGCAUUGAGCUUUCCCC
RNAcentral lists this long non-coding RNA (227 nucleotides) under Elaeis guineensis (African oil palm). RNAcentral describes it as "long non-coding RNA (EGUI_LNC022560)". Lineage: Eukaryota; Viridiplantae; Streptophyta; Magnoliopsida; Arecales; Arecaceae. The record is from RNAcentral.